Molecule: ribosomal RNA, 491 nt
Filed under: uncultured bacterium
Lineage: Bacteria
Description: partial 16S ribosomal RNA
Rfam family: Bacterial small subunit ribosomal RNA
Source: RNAcentral
AGUGAACGCUGGCGGUAGGCCUAACACAUGCAAGUCGAACGGCAGCACAGUAAGAGCUUGCUCUUACGGGUGGCGAGUGGCGGACGGGUGAGGAAUACAUCGGAAUCUACUUUUUCGUGGGGGAUAACGUAGGGAAACUUACGCUAAUACCGCAUACGACCUACGGGUGAAAGCAGGGGAUCUUCGGACCUUGCGCGAUUGAAUGAGCCGAUGUCGGAUUAGCUAGUUGGCGGGGUAAAGGCCCACCAAGGCGACGAUCCGUAGCUGGUCUGAGAGGAUGAUCAGCCAAACGGGAAAUGAGACACGGUCCAGACUCCUACGGGAGGCAGCAGGGGGGAAUAUUGGACAAGGGGCGCAAGCCUGAUCCAGCCAGACCGCGGGGGUGAAGAAGGCCUUCGGGUUGUAAAGCCCUUUUGUUGGGAAAGAAAAGCAGCAGGUUAAUACCCCGCUGUUCUGACGGUACCCAAAGAAUAAGCACCGGCUAACUGCGU